GCCCCUAUGGCGUAGUGGUAGCGCGUGUCACUUGUAUUCUUGUAUCAAGGUUAUGACAAGGUCUCUCGUUCGAUCCGGGAUGGGGGCA
Non-coding RNA from Xylaria sp. FL1777, 88 nucleotides. The record is from the annotation of a GenBank genome assembly. Lineage: Eukaryota; Fungi; Ascomycota; Sordariomycetes; Xylariales; Xylariaceae.